GUUCGAAACGAUGAUGCUGGGUGCUUGCACUGCGUGGAUUAGUGGCGAACGGGUGAGUAACACGUGAGUAACCUGCCCCUGACUUCGGGAUAAGCCCGGCGAAACUGGGUCUAAUACCGGAUAUGACUUCCUGCUGCAUGGCAGGGGGUGGAAAGAUUUAUCGGUUGGGGAUGGACUCGCGGCCUAUCAGCUUGUUGGUGAGGUAAUGGCUCACCAAGGCGACGACGGGUAGCCGGCCUGAGAGGGUGACCGGCCACACUGGGACUGAGACACGGCCCAGACUCCUACGGGAGGCAGCAGUGGGGAAUAUUGCACAAUGGGCGAAAGCCUGAUGCAGCGACGCCGCGUGAGGGAUGACGGCCUUCGGGUUGUAAACCUCUUUCAGUAGGGAAGAAGCCCCUUUUUGGGGUGACGGUACUUGCAGAAGAAGCGCCGGCUAACUACGUGCCAGCAGCCGCGGUAAUACGUAGGGCGCAAGCGUUAUCCGGAAUUAUUGGGCGUAAAGAGCUCGUAGGCGGUUUGUCGCGUCUGCCGUGAAAGUCCGAGGCUCAACCUCGGAUCUGCGGUGGGUACGGGCAGACUAGAGUGAUGUAGGGGAGACUGGAAUUCCUGGUGUAGCGGUGAAAUGCGCAGAUAUCAGGAGGAACACCGAUGGCGAAGGCAGGUCUCUGGGCAUUUACUGACGCUGAGGAGCGAAAGCAUGUGGAGCGAACAGGAUUAGAUACCCUGGUAGUCCAUGCCGUAAACGUUGAGUACUAGGU
This 761-nucleotide ribosomal RNA is filed under the name Arthrobacter sp. Its description in RNAcentral is "bacterial SSU rRNA". It matches the Rfam family "Bacterial small subunit ribosomal RNA", at positions 61 to 821 of the family's 1533-position model. The record is from RNAcentral. Lineage: Bacteria; Bacillati; Actinomycetota; Actinomycetes; Micrococcales; Micrococcaceae.